AGUCCCUAUUCCCGCCCUGAAGGUGGCCAAAAGGCUGACUCCCUCCAAGCAGCCCGCCCGCGCCUCCAUCGCCCCCACCCACGUCCCACUCGCCAGCUGCGGACUGAACCCUCACCCUCAAGGGGGUGUAGGUAGGGAAAGAGUUUUGAGCAAGAUUGGGGGUAUCCCUUCAUCCGAAGAUUGUUUGGGAAAGGUUAGGAGCUCUAAAAUGUAUUGAAGCCAACUCUUAAGCGCAAAGUAAAAGAUAAUUUGCGUCCGUCUGCGAGGUAGGACUGAAGAUUCUAUAGAGUGGGCUUCCGAGGAGCAGGAGACACAGGGCGAGCAUGAGAACAUAGGUCUGGAAUGAGGUUCCACCGAGCGUCCGUAGUCUCCUUAGGCGACAUCUAUCGCUUCCUUUAGCACUUCGCAGGAGUCAACGCGGGGUUGGUUGCCCCCAACAGUGGAGCGUUUCCAUAAAGCCGAGCAGAUGAGCCUUCCCAGCCGCCUGCACUGCACCCUUCCCCGCCCCCAACUCCGUACUGGCACCCUGUGUGCCUGAAGGGCUGACACACGUUCUCCCAAAACCUUCAGAAGCGCUUUGCCUUGAAAGAGCUCUCCCUCGUGUGUGUGUGUGUGUGUGUGUGUGUGUGUGUGUGUGUGUGUGUGUGUGUGUGUUUAAACCAUCUCCAGGAUCCCUUAUCAUUUGCUUCCUCUCUCCUUUUUCUCUCUGUUUCUCCCUGUCUUUUUUCUGACGCUUAAGUUUCAGGAUCUUUUAGUUUUUUUCCAUCACAUACAUGUGUAGGUUUUCUGGUACAAACGCCCUGAAACAUCACUUGGGAGGUUAAGACAGGCCCGCGAGUAAAAGCUGGGGACGGAGUGGGUGGGCAGCCAGGUGCAUUACCAGCGCCUUUAUGCCUCUGCCUACACUUCCCGGCCUCCCCCCAUCCCCCCACCCCCCCACCCCACGCCUCACCGUCGCUCCCCGGCCCCACAACAUGAACUUGGAAGCAGAAUUUCAGGCCAAGAUGGAACCUCCCCGUCUCAGGAAGGCGAUUUCUGUUUAAUCCUUGGGAGGCUGCGCUGGCUGGGCCAGGCAGCACGCUCCUUUUCCGAUUAGGGAAAGGACUAAGCUGGGCCGGCAGUCUGCGACCCCUUCCCGGAACCCCAGCCGACUUCGGGGUAUACCUGAGCGCCUUCCGAUGGCUGCUCGCGGGGGUGUGAUCAUCGUCCCCGCAUCAGGCCCGCCAGGCAUCUGCGCGACUCGGGGGUAGGAGGGAGAUGCGUGGGUGGGAGGUGGGGGUCAAACCAAACACCGACAGGGCACACCUACGUUUAUGAUCCUUAAAUGAACUGCGAGGGAAAUUGUGUAAGUAUAAUUUAACUGAGAGAAAUUUAUUGCGAAAUACGCUUAGAGGACUGUGGUCUUUAACAGCCUCAGGGGUUCUUCGGCAAAGAGGUAACGGGGCUUGGAUUUACCACAACUCUGCGGCCACGUUUUCAAAUUUGGAAAAGGCGAUUUAUGCGAGAAAGGGCCAAUUUGAACACUGGUAACUAGUGGGAGAAAUAAACUUAUAAGCCACAAACACAUCGGUUCGCAACCGAGCCCACAGCCCCGCGAGGCGCCCCUUCUUCCCAGCUCCCGGAGGAUAACUUCAUUGACUGGCAGGUCGGCGGCCACUUCUGGGAGGGCCACUGUUUACCGAAUGAGAACCUCUCAUGGCACAGUCCUUACAGCAGGGCUGCCCUGUCGCCCUUGCGCGUCCGGGUGCCGGGUCCCGGCGGUGUUCUGCAGCGCGAUCCGGUCCCCGUGCCCUGAGCCACCCAGAGCCCUGGGCCUGCCUGCACCCUGGGGCGCGCUGACUCCCUGGGUCGGGUGGGGGUCCCGGCAGGAUGCACUUCCAGCUGCGGGGUCCGCGGAGUUUGCUCGCACCUGGUUUGGCGCAGGGACGUAGGUUUGGGGGACUGUGUCCCCUGGGAAGAGCAAAAGGUGAAAAGGUCCCCUCUCCCACCAGUGUGCCCCAUCCCCGCCAGUUUUGACUGCGAUCCUAUUUUUCUCUUUGGGGGUCGCCUCAGCCUGUGCCGGAGGGAGUUGGGAGUUGGUCAGGCUUGGGCAGCGGUGGGUGGCAGCCCGGGAGCCGGAGCAGGAGCGCGAGGACCCGCGGACUGGGGCGCAGCGACGAUGGCGCACCGGCUUCUGUCUUCUGCUGCUUUGGGGCUGAGCAUCCGAGGGCGCCUUUCUCCCCAGCUGGACUCGGGGACGCCGGAUCACCCCGCCACCUGCCUCUUGGCCUAAUUCUGGAAGCUUCUCGCCUCCGUUCCUGGACGGCUCUUCCUCAGGGGCAGCAAUGAGCCCCGGGGUGCGCUCAUCUCCUCCGAGAUCAAUUGCUCUACGAUUCCUUUUAGGACUUGCAGGGGGGAGAGGUUGGGGACCCCGGCCCCAGAGUGGCUCCUGCGGCACGGCGGCCCACUCGGAGGGGUCGCAACAAGCGCGCAUUUGUGGCCAAGGUUGUGAUUUCAGGUGCGCUAAUGGGAUCAGACGUCCUGGGAGAAGCGUGAGGGGAUUGGUGCCGUUCCUUCUCCCGGCUUCCAGCGGCCGCCGGGUGGAAGUGGGGACACAGGAGGGCCGCGCUACGGGCGCCCAGCGCGGGCGCUCACACCUCUUGAGGAGGCGUGGAACCCAGCGCCCCAGGUGGGGGUAGGGCGCGGGGGUAUAGGUAGUGAGGGGUGACGCUGGGAGAGGACCGGGAGACGGAGGAAAGGAGACAGCCGGGGACACUACUGAGAGAGGGAGUAAGAGAGUGCGCUGCAGAACCGGGGACAGAGCGGCAGAACCGACCGAGAGCUGGAAUUGGAUUGCGUCCUGUCCCAGCACCAGGACACAGAUAAACAGCCUCCCAGCACUGGUACUCGCCAGAGAAGGGGAAACCCGCGUCCCGCGCUGCUGCUUUCUGCUUCGGAGAACCUUAUCUAGACUUUUGCAUAAUUGCGUGUUGGCUUUCCUAAAUAAUUCGGAAGAGCGAUUUCUGCUUCCACUUGUUCACAUAGGCAAACAAUCCCUGUGGGGAAAAUGUGUGUGUGUGUGUGUGUGUGUGCGCGCGCGCGCGCGCGCGUUCCGGUGACAAUUGAGGCCAGAGGCAAACACAUCCUCUUUCAAAAUGUCCCUUAGGUGAUCCCGUAAAUGACUGUCCUGCUCUAGGCAGUGGGAGUCAUCAUCCACUGGGUAGGGGGCUGUGAUUACUCUGCCUAGGGACCACUUUUCACAGCUCCUUCCCCACCGUAGAUAAGGGUGUUAAAUCAAGGCAUUUAGUUCUACUUUUCCAUUGCACAGAUAAGCAAGCUGAGACCCAGAUAGGUUAAGUGAAGUAUCCAAUUUCUUCUCUCCUUUUCUUUUCUGUAUGCCUCAAGAUGGUUUUAUACACACACACACACACACACAUACAUACACACACACACACACCCUGAACUACGAAAAACAUCACAACUACGGAAGAAACAUUUUUUACUCUUCUUAUUUCCUAAGAAGACCAAAAGUCAGAGCUUGUCUUCUGUCAGAAGCAGAUGGGUGUGUGAUGGCAGUGUGUGAGUGUGCAAGUGUGGGGGGGCUGGGCGUUGGCGCCAUCCUUCCUCCUUCCCUGCUCCAUCCCUGACUCCAUCACCGAGCCCCUUCAGGGAAACACAAGGCAGGAGGUUGUACCGCUAUGCAGAAGACCCCUCCAGGUAGGGAGCUUGAAGAAAUGAAACAGCAGGGAGAACCUGUAUUUGGUGGUGAAAGUGCUGGAAUCUUCUAGGCCUUGCUCAUCUCCAACCAGCUACUUCUCCAAAAUAAAGCAAAACAAAACAAAACAAAACAAGGCAAACAACAACCACCACAGGCCUUUUGCAUCAACUUCCUGUGACUAAGUGACCCUAAGCAGAGAACUGGCUCAGGUCACUUAGGGCAGGGGUAGGACAUUGAAGGCCUUAUUUACUCCAGGAUUAAAAACAGCAUCCCCUCUAACCCUGUCUCUCUUGGGCAGCCUGUCUUUUAAGGAUGUGAAAAGCAGCUUCUUGGAGUCUAAACAGGCACAAUACCCCACUGGGAUGUUUAGGUAUCAGGUUCACAAAAACAGCAUUUUACUCCUGCUUCCCCGAACCCCUUUGCAACCCAGGCUACCAUACUCUUUGCAAGAAUAUCCGGUAUCUUUUCCGGGCAAAAUGAAUUGAGUUGGCACUUCCUGAAAUAUUUUUAUUUUUAGCUUCAAAUAAUUUUGCUCCUAAAACAAAUUAGUUACUUAUCCUCUUCUCACCAUGCCCUAAUUAUUUUUAGCUUUAUUCUAAUUUUUUUUGUUACCUUGAAUUUUGUCUUGAUUUGAGAGUUUGGUAUAGAAUACUUGUUUGCAGACUGGUAAUCUGCAGUUUAUUUUGUUUUUAAAAAACUCUGUGAAGUUUACUGUUGUUUUAAAACUCAUGGAAUAUUAACAAAAAAUAACCUAAUAAUAUUCUUCGAGGCUUAAACUUUGGUUAUAGUCUAUGUCCUAGCCUAGCUUUUAUGAUAAGCCUGUUGCAUUUUAAAGGUGCUUAUUGAUUCACAUGUCUUUCAGUAAAAAAUCUUUUGAGGAACCCAGACUUUUGAAAGCUAUUUAAUUUGCAUGUAUUUGGUCAUUACAGGCUAAAACUGAAGAAUGAGUUUGGAAAUUGGUUCUAUUAGAAAACACUGUUUGCACAUCCAAAUGUUCCCAGUCAAGAUUUCCCAAUAGUGGCAGUGAGAAAGAGAGGCAGAGAGAAUUAGGAUACUUGGGUUCAAAUUUUAGCUUAGUCACUGAUGGGCUGAUUGAGUGAGAAGAACUUAAUCACCUGCAAAAUGAAUUGCUUACAGUAUUUUGAUCUCUAAAUACACUUUUGAUUCUGAUAUUUAAUGAUUUUGUAUUACAAAAUUGGGCAGAAAACGCAUAGCUUCAUAACAAGCAAAAAAUUUUACUGUUAACACAUCAUACUUAUUUUAGAGUAAAUUUGAAGGAGGUUGAUGUUUUGGAAUUUGGUUGGAGAGUUAUCCAAAAGCAAUGUUUCCCUGACUCAACUACAACCAAUUACACACAGUGGCCAGUAGGAAAAGGAUUAAGUUGUCCAGACAAAAUAUAAUGGUAACAAAAAAUAAUCUUGUGCUUUUGACAUCUUUCUGUUUACUUGUUUUUGUCUUGUUCUAAUGCCCCCUGAAUUACUAUUUUCUAAAAAACAGUCUCAUCUAAAAUAAAACAUAGUAAUGUGUUUUCAAAUGAGACAUUUUAUUGUAGUUACGAUUUCUUUUGUAUAUUUUCCUAAUGCAGACUACAAUAAAUACACUAAAAUAUUUCAAAUGGUUUGCUUGUGUAUAUGCUCUUAAGUCGUCUUUAUCCCACUUUGGGAAGCAUAUGCUGUGUUCUGAACAGUUUUAACUUUAUAUAUCAGCAUGACUAAGUCCUUUCAACAACUAUCACGCAAAGACCACGGAGAGCAGAACUAUUCAGGAUAUCAAGAAAUGAACACUAAUGAAUAGGAAACAAUGAACCCUAAUUUUAGGAAGAAAUUAGUUUUGCAAUUCAGCAUUGUCAUUUAAAGUGGAAUUGUGUCUCGUAAAACUUCUGUAACUGCCAUACUUGUU
Molecule: long non-coding RNA, 5596 nt
Filed under: Homo sapiens (human)
Lineage: Eukaryota; Metazoa; Chordata; Mammalia; Primates; Hominidae
Description: HSALNT0303151
Source: RNAcentral